AUUUCCGCAAAAAGAUUCCCAAGCCAUCAAGUCUGUGCCUAUUUGGAAUUUGUAUGAGUCCCUUUCUCCCUCAAUGGCCACAGCCAUGGAACUUAAUCCUUCUCCUGGCCCUCUUCAUUUCUGGGUUGUUUGCGAAUGGAAUCACAUGGCACGCCCAGGCUUUUGUCUGUCCUCUUCAUCCUACAGCACAGCAUUAUUUGAAAGCCCGCACACCCAUUGUCCCUUCUUAUUGGUAAAGUCGAGGUACAUUAGCAGGGCCUAGUGGGACUGCAUUCCUGAGACCGGAUCCAGUAGCCUACCAGCCUUCCAAUCCCAGGCCCUUCUUCUAAGGUUCUUCUCCGUCUAUUCUUCAUCCUCAUCAACCAUUGAGGUACCUUUUCAAAGUUUGACCCUACAAGGUGUGUGGGCGUGAAUGUGUGUGUCUAUGUGUGUGUGUCUGUCUCUGUGUGU
This is a long non-coding RNA of Mus musculus (house mouse), 450 nucleotides long. RefSeq annotates it as predicted gene, 39238. The record is from RefSeq and is a predicted model, not a curated record. The transcript has 3 exons. NCBI's taxonomy places the organism in Eukaryota, Metazoa, Chordata, Mammalia, Rodentia, Muridae.